RNAcentral lists this ribosomal RNA (54 nucleotides) under Thalassiosira minuscula. Its description in RNAcentral is "partial Eukaryotic large subunit ribosomal RNA". Lineage: Eukaryota; Bacillariophyta; Thalassiosirophyceae; Thalassiosirales; Thalassiosiraceae. The record is from RNAcentral.
UUUGAGGAUCCUGGGAAGUAAUUUCCUAGGCCUAUUCUCAAACUUUAAAUGGGU